Oncorhynchus keta (chum salmon) is the source of this 2257-nucleotide long non-coding RNA. RefSeq lists it as uncharacterized. The transcript is spliced from 3 exons. Lineage: Eukaryota; Metazoa; Chordata; Actinopteri; Salmoniformes; Salmonidae. The record is from RefSeq and is a predicted model, not a curated record.
AAAGGAGAGGUCAGUUCUAUCUGCCUGAAACACCACAGAGGAAAAGGAGAGGUCAGUUCUAUCUGCCUGAAACACCACAGAGGAAAAGGAGAGGUCAGUUCUAUCUGCCUGAAACGCCACAGAGGAAAAGGAGAGGUCAGUUCUAUCUGCCUGAAACGCCACAGAGGAAAAGGAGAGGUCAGUUCUAUCUGCCUGAAACGCCACAGAGGAAAAGGAGAGGUCAGUUCUAUCUGCCUGAAACAUACUCAGAUAGACCCCAGGCAGGGGACAUGUCAAUCUAAUAUAAUAUGUAUUCCAUUUAGCAGAUACUUUUAUCCAAAGUUACUUACAGUACAUUCUUAGAAAAAAGGGUUCCAAAAUGGUCCUUCGGCUGCCCCAUAGUAGAAGCCUUCUUGGUUCCAGGUAGAACCAUUUUUGGUUCCAGGUAGAACCCAUUUGGGUUCCUUGUAGAACACUCUGUGGAAAGGGUUGUACUUGGAACGCAAAAGGGUUCAACCUGGAAUCAAAAAGGGUUCUCCUAUGGGGACAGUAAAAGAGUGUAGUGUAGUUUUUUCUAAGAGUGUAGCGUGUGCACAGAAUUACAUAUAGAAACCACUUUCUAUUUAAUAGGAUCUGUGUGUCAGUACAUACAUUAUUUGUAUGGGUGGCCAAGUUUGAAACGAAUCCACAACUCUGACAUUGUAAGUGCCAUGCCCUACACACUAAGCUACAAAGGGAUCGCCAUGUACAGUUCAAAACAUUUAAAAUACUCUCGUGGAGUAAUGUCAAUCAGAAAUAUUCUGACAAUAACCCAUGUAAUGAAACACAUUUCUUAAUGUGUUUUAUACUGAACAAAAACAUAAACUAAACACAACAUGUAACGUGUUGGUCCCAUGUUUCAUGAGCUGAAACAAAAGAUCCCAGAAAUGUUCCAUACGCACAAAAAUAUUAUUUUUCUAAAAUGUUGUGCACAAAUUUGUUUACACCCCUGUUACUGACCACUUCUCCUUUGCCAAGAUAAUCCAUCCACCUGUCAGAUGUGGCAUAUCAAGAAGCUGAUUAAACAGUAUGAAGUUUUGUCGCACUACACAAUGCCACAGAUGUCUAAAGUUGAGGGAGCAUGCAAUUGGCAUGCUGACUGCAGGAAUGUCCACCAGAGCUGUUGCCAGAGAAUUUCAUGUCCAUUUCUCUACCAUAAGCCGCCACCAACGUCGCUUUACAGAAUUUGGCCUUACAUCCAACGAGCCUCCGAGCGGUUUGCUCAUGUCAACGUUGUGAACAGAGUGCCCCAUGGUAGCGGUGGGGUUAUGGUAUGGGAAAACAUAAACUACGGACAAUGAACACAAUAGCAUUUCAUCGAUGGCAAUUUGAAAGCACAGAGAUACGAGAUCCUGAGGCCCAUUGUCAUGCUAUUCAUCUGCUGCCAUCACCUCAUGUUUCAGUAUGAUAAUGCACGGCCCCAUGUCGCAAGGAUCUGUACACAAUUCCUGGAAGCUGAAAAUGUCCCAGUUCUUCCAUGGCCUGCGUACUCACCAGACAUGUCACCCAUUGAGCAUGUUUGGAAUGCUCUGGAUCUACGUGUACGACAGCGUGUUCCAGUUCCCGCCAUUAACCAGCAACUUCGCACAGCCAUUGAAGAGGAGUGGGACAACAUUCCACAAGCCACAAUCAACAGCCUGAUCAUCUCAAUGCGAAGGAGAUGUGUAGCGCUGCAUGAGGCAAAUGGUAUUCACAGCGGAUACUGACUGGUUUUCUGAUCUGUGACCAACAGAUGCAUAUCUGUAUUCCCAGUCAUGUGCAAUCCGUAGAUUUGGCCCUAAUUUAUUUAUGUCAAUUGACUGAUUUCCUUAUAUGAACUGUAACUCAGUAAAAUCUUUGAAAUUGUUGCAUGUAGCGUUUUAUAUUUUUGUUCAGGGUACAUCCUGUGUAAACAUUAUGCUAACCUGUAUGAAGGUAAAAAGGAAUCCAAAAUACUUCAGUGUCCAGCACUAGCGACUGUUCGCUAGCGACUGUUCAAACGCAUGGUGUACUUCCCGUCGUGUCGAGAGAACUGCUAUCUGCGAACCAAUACCUAAAUCAAACGUUAUCUGUGUAGCUAGUGGCUCCUGGCAGUAGAGGAAGAGUUCACUGGGUUUGUGGUACCUGACACUGAAACAUUAGGUCAAACACACAGAGGACGGGCAAGCCGGACCCAGACAUGACAUAAGCCUCUCACACUAAAUCCCCAACAGCUGCACUCAUCCUACUGUAGUCUGUCUCUCUCGGUUUCUCUCUCUCA